AGUGAACGCUGGCGGUAGGCCUAACACAUGCAAGUCGAACGGCAGCACAGUAAGAGCUUGCUCUUACGGGUGGCGAGUGGCGGACGGGUGAGGAAUACAUCGGAAUCUACUUUUUCGUGGGGGAUAACGUAGGGAAACUUACUCUAAUACCGCAUACUACCUACGGGUGAAAGCAGGGGAUCCUCGGACCUUGCGCGAUUGAAUGAGCCGAUGUCGGAUUAGCUAGUUGGCGGGGUAAAGGCCCACCAAGGCGACGAUCCGUAGCUGGUCUGAGAGGAUGAUCAGCCACACUGGAACUGAGACACGGUCCAGAGUCCUACGCGAGGCAGCAGUGGGGAAUAUUGGACAAUGGGCGCAAGCCUGAUCCAGCCAUACCGCGUGGGUGAAGAAGGCCUUCGGGUUGUAAAGCACUUUUGUUGGGAAAGAAAAGCAGCAGGUUAAUACCCCGCUGUUCUGACGGUACCCAAAGAAUAAGCACCGGCUAACUUCGUG
RNAcentral lists this ribosomal RNA (492 nucleotides) under uncultured bacterium. Its description in RNAcentral is "partial 16S ribosomal RNA". It matches the Rfam family "Bacterial small subunit ribosomal RNA", at positions 29 to 507 of the family's 1533-position model. The record is from RNAcentral.